GGCUUGGAUUGGGCGGAUCUCACGGUGGGGGUGGGAAUCGAAGCGUUACUUCCGGGCCGGGGGGGGGGGUCCGGCUUCACCGAUGAGGAGGGGUUUCCGGGUCCGGACCCUACGGGUUCAGUUAGUGGCCGGUACCUCCUUGUCCCCUGUCUGCGGGGCCUCGGAGCGGAGUCUGAGCCCCAGCCCCGCCGCCUCUCGGGUCCGCUCCCCUUUCCCACAGUCUCCAGGCGUGAGGUUAGAGACCCAGGGGCUAGGACUGAGCCCUGGAUACCUAGGACAAACCACCAGAGAUCCUGUUGUCUUUCCCACAAGCAGGAUUUUAAAUGUUACAACCUGGUGUGAGCGCCCAGCAAUAGUGAAGAGAAGAACUGUGGGUCCUGGAAAUGUGGACACAAAGGAAGCUUCUGAAGGGAGAGGGCAUGAGAAGGUGACUGCUCAGAACUACUUAGAUCCUUUCAACACCAAGAAGUUGGAUAUUAACAGUGUGACUACUGAGAACAAAUCAUCUGAUUCUGUUUAGCUACUUCCUCACUGGAUUGAGUUUCCCUUCCUUACCUGCCUGAGCAGAAGAACAGGGGUCCUUUGACAUUUUUUCCCUCUCUGUACAGUUGACUUCAGGGUUUUCAUCUUGUUCAAUUUCCUUCCUCUGUGUCACAUUUUUUAAGGUACCAUUUCUUUUUUUUUCCAUGUAAUUUAUUCUUCUUUCCAAUUACGUAUAAAAAAAUUUUCACAUUUGUUUUUAAAAUUUUUAACUUCCUAAUUCUCCCCCCUCCUUCCACUUCCCUCUUAUUAAGAAAUCAAGCGAUAUGAUAUAGGUGAUACAUGUGCAAUCAUGCAAAACAUAUCUGGAUAUUAGUCAUGUUUUGAAAGAAAACAUAGAUCAAAAAAACCC
Molecule: long non-coding RNA, 892 nt
Filed under: Vombatus ursinus (common wombat)
Lineage: Eukaryota; Metazoa; Chordata; Mammalia; Diprotodontia; Vombatidae
Description: lncRNA (ENSVURG00010024875.1)
Source: RNAcentral